UUAAAAUGUAAACCAGAUAUCAAUGUUUACAGUAGCAAGCACCAACCAAAAUGGUUAAGAGUCCAGUUUAAUAGCCAAAAUUCACGAUGUACAUAAAUUCACAGAUUCACUCAAUUAAGGACAGAUGAAAAAAAUCAGUGUGUCAAACUAAUAAGUGUAGGACUAUUUUGACGACCAAGAGAUAUUGCCAAGUUGCACCAAAAAAAGGAUGGAGAGGGAUUAUAAAAUUUGAGUUGAUAAUUAAUCAUAACAUAAACAAGUUAUUUUUUAGGUCAUGGCUAUUUGUUAGUAUCUGGACAAAUAGCAGUUUUGGCUAUUGUCUUGCUACCCAGUCAAAUGUUGUUUUUUGGCUAAUUGUCUGGUAAUUCUGUCAAAUAACAUUUAAAUGUCGUGCAUUAUUCACUAUUUCAAAUGAUAUUUUUAAAAUGAUAAACUAGAAAAUAUACAAAUAUAUUUAUUAAGAUAAACAAAGUUGUCAUGAUUUCAGAUGAGAUGUACAAACAUGUUAAAAUGUAAA
Molecule: long non-coding RNA, 517 nt
Filed under: Mytilus galloprovincialis (Mediterranean mussel)
Lineage: Eukaryota; Metazoa; Mollusca; Bivalvia; Mytilida; Mytilidae
Source: RNAcentral